GACGAACGCUGGCGGCGUGCUUAACACAUGCAAGUCGAACGAAGAGCGAUGGAAGCUUGCUUCUAUCAAUCUUAGUGGCGAACGGGUGAGUAACGCGUAAUCAACCUGCCCUUCAGAGGGGGACAACAGUUGGAAACGACUGCUAAUACCGCAUACGAUCUAAUCUCGGCAUCGAGGAUAGAUGAAAGGUGGCCUCUACAUGUAAGCUAUCACUGAAGGAGGGGAUUGCGUCUGAUUAGCUAGUUGGAGGGGUAACGGCCCACCAAGGCGAUGAUCAGUAGCCGGUCUGAGAGGAUGAACGGCCACAUUGGGACUGAGACACGGCCCAGACUCCUACGGGAGGCAGCAGUGGGGAAUCUUCCGCAAUGGACGAAAGUCUGACGGAGCAACGCCGCGUAAGUGAUGACGGCCUUCGGGUUGUAAAGCUCUGUUAAUCGGGACGAAAGGCCUUCUUGCGAAUAGUGAGAAGGAUUGACGGUACCGGAAGAGAAAGCCACGGCUAACUACGUG
RNAcentral lists this ribosomal RNA (510 nucleotides) under uncultured bacterium. RNAcentral's name for it is "partial 16S ribosomal RNA". It matches the Rfam family "Bacterial small subunit ribosomal RNA", at positions 28 to 507 of the family's 1533-position model. The record is from RNAcentral.